GAUGAAGAACGUAGCGAAAUGCGAUAAGUAAUGUGAAUUGCAGAAUUCAGUGAAUCAUCGAAUCUUUGAACGCACAUUGCGCCCGCCAGUAUUCUGGCGGGCAUGCCUGUUCGAGCGUCAUUUCAACCAUCAAGCCCCCGGCUUGUGUUGGGGACCUGCGGCUGCCGCAGGCCCUGAAAACCAGUGGCGGGCUCGCUAGUCACUCCGAGCGUAGUAAUACAUCUCGCUCAGGGCGUGCUGCGGGUUCCGGCCGUUAAACCACCUUCAUAACCCAAGGUUGACCUCGGAUCAGGUAGGAAGACCCGCUGAACUUAAGCAUAUCAAUAAGCGGAGGA
RNAcentral lists this unclassified non-coding RNA (335 nucleotides) under soil metagenome. RNAcentral's name for it is "partial contains 5.8S ribosomal RNA, internal transcribed spacer 2, and large subunit ribosomal RNA". The stretch from base 1 to 120 matches the Rfam family "5.8S ribosomal RNA", at positions 35 to 154 of the family's 154-position model. The record is from RNAcentral.